This 6137-nucleotide long non-coding RNA is filed under the name Cricetulus griseus (Chinese hamster). RNAcentral describes it as "lncRNA (ENSCGRG00015034101.1)". Lineage: Eukaryota; Metazoa; Chordata; Mammalia; Rodentia; Cricetidae. The record is from RNAcentral.
AUGUCUAAAUACUCAAAGAUGUUUAUAUUGCAUACAUUCAGCUUUAAUUGGCCCUUAAAAGAAGGUGUUGAUUAGAAUCUGCUCAACAUCAACAGCUAGCUCACACAACAUUCUGUAAUUACUGUUUAUUAAUUUAGUUCAAGUGGCAUAGUUGAAAGCCCUGUUCAGAUGGGAGAAGUAAAUUGUCACUGGUAUUGAAUAUGUAAAUUAUGUGCAUUGUAAAUUUCCAUGAAGAAAUGUUUAAAGUUAAAUGCUGUGCAUAUAAACCCUUCUGGUUUUAUCUAACUUGGCCCUGGGAGUGGAACCAGGUCUUCGCUCAGAAAGCACAUGGCACAGCAAGCCAGUAGGGGCAAAGCCUCCCCAGGACCACGCAUCUUACCUAGAGCUUGUAAAAUGAGAUUUUUGUAAUCAAGUUUUGUUGCAUGUGUUCCCUUUUUCAUGAAACAAGGCAACGCUAAUGUGCCCUCUUUAUUCUUGUUCACAAAGCCCUUCCAUGGAGUUCCCCCACCAGGUUCUUCUCUGCCUGUUUGGCAAUCCUGUAAAUUCCCUUGCUGCCUUGAGGAAGCUUCUAGAAUGACGCUGUUGGGCAGCAUGCUGAAAAAGAUGGGAUUGAAGACAGUGUUUCUUCAGCCAAGUGCCAAGAUAAGUUACUUCUUUUUUCCUUCCCCUGGAGUGGCAGAGACAGCAGAAACUGGAGCAAGUGCUGGCAGGCUUGUUCGGGAAGCCCAAACUCUCUGAUCUCUGGAAGCUGUAUUAAGGGCUCUGGGUAGCCUUCUCACAAGGGUGUGGCUUAACAUAGCAGCAAUCACUUUAUUCCAUUAACAAUUAUCUUGGAUUUCUACCGUAUUAAGAUGGUAUUAAGUGAAGUUUUCCUUCAAACAUCAACCAAAACACACUUGUUUUUUUCUUGUAGUGAUGGGGCUUUCAGUAAAUGACUUAAUCCACGCAUUCCUUGGAUAUUUUUUACCUGUAAAGUGGAGAAAAUAACAACCUCCUUCAGGAUUGGAUGCAAAGAUGAAAUAAGAUAAUGUUGGCAAAGUGCUUAGCAGAGUGCUUACUGUCUGCUAAUAAUACACAGACAGUAGUGUUGUCAGCAGAUGUCUCAAAAAAUGAGAAUCUGACUAUAAAUGAUCUGAGAGAAAAAAAAGGCCCAACUGUUCCUGGGACUAAUUAUGAUGGUUCCAAGGAGAAUGUGCACGCUUUCACUUUUCCUUUAUGAAGUGUUCCUGAAGAAAGCCUUGUGAUUGAAAUAACCCUUUUGGAUGAUAGCUGGCAUUUUCGGAAGUAAUAGUAAUACUACUGCAGACACACGGAGCGGAAGUCGUGGAAAUGCAAAGUGCCGCACAAACGCUGCCUGACAGGCUCCAACCAUCACUGCAGAGGAUGGUGGCGGCGUCAGGAGGCUCCUCUGGAUUGCUGUAUAGUGCUCUACUUAGUGCCUUAUGUUGGGAAGUCUUCUGUGCUUUUGAAGAAAGAGGAGAGGCCAUUCUUCCAGGAAUGAUUCAGCAAGAGAGGUGUACUUGUGCCUACCUUGUGGUUUUAAGCUUGACACAUGGGCUCUGACUUUGAGCAAGGCUGAACUGUAUUUGUCCUAGAAGCAACAUGACUUUACAGACUGAAUGGUGCCCUUGUCAACACUCACAUGUGGAAGUCCUCAUCUCCAGAACUUAGACUGUAUCUAUAUUUGGAGGAAGAAGAAUCUAGGACCUGGAUUGUGUGUAAAAUAUGUGUAUUUAGGGUUUCUGGAAGAAAAGAUGAUCGUGAGCCCUUCAACAAGAAUGUGGUUUCAUUACGCAUCUUCUGAAGGCAGCCCAUGGUCUUCCGCAGCAUCAGCAUCACUUUGGAUUUCCAUCAACAAGGCAGAAAGCUCUCGGUCUCUCUACUCCUUGCUAAUACUCGUGUCUUGGUUUUGGGAUAAUAGUCAUCCUAACAUUGGAAGAUUUAAACAACAGAAAGAAAACUUGUAGUGUCCAGGAAGCCCGUGAUUUCCUGCCCUUCAGCUUACUUGGAUUUGGUGAAGUCAGAGGAGAUGGGCCUGCAAAGCAUUUAUUGUCUGGGUCAUGGGGAUUACAGGUAACAGGUGAACCCGGAGGAACCACAUCACAGGAGCCAGGCUGUUUUGCACUGAAGCUGUUGAGCUUGUCAUGCAUAUGGUUGUCUCCAGAACCACCCAGCCCUCCUGAGAAACAACUAACACUAAUCUCAGAGGAUGACUGAGCUGAGCAAGAAAGACAGACACACUGGCAUCUCCAUCUUUUGGGCACUUGACUUUUUAUUCUGGGUUUUGAAAACCAACACAUUUUCUCUUUUGUCUAAGUCAGUUUGGGACUAGUUUCUCAUAGCAGUAACUGUCGCCCUGAAACACACAGUUAGAUGGAUAAAGAUUUACAUUUUAAGAUCAUUUCUUUGAUGAGUCUGUGAAAGGAAGAUGUGUGACAGUAAGACUGGAGGCAGAGAUCUAAUUAGGAAUCUAAUACAAUAAACAGAGGGAGACGAGGCUGUGUCAGCAAGCUCAGAGAAGGGCAUGGGAUCUGUUACUUACGAGAACUAGAGUGUUCACAAUGGGGUGUCUCAUUGUGAUGGCAGUUCAAGAAGCAGCCAGAAGUCACCAUCUCUAUGGCCUGUGGUAUGAGGAUGGUGAUGUCCUUGAAUAAAUGCUCAAUACGCAGGGAGGCCUGGUGUAGUGGUGAAAUGGGCCAUUCUGGGCAUGUUGAGUUAUGGGCUUGUGCAAGAGCAAAUAGACACAGCCAGAGACCACGUAUGAAAGGUCAGAGCCUUGGGUCUGAGAAGGCCUGCCUGCUGUUCAGAGCAGCCAUGUAGGUUAGACAUCCCAGGAAGGGUGUGCAGUGCAGAGGGGCGGAGCCUGAGCGUGGAACUCUGGGAAAGUAUAGAGGAGAAGCAGGCUAAAUGUUGCCAGAGAAUGUGUACAGCCAUGCUGAGGCUUGGAGCAGCUGAGCAUGUGGGCUGUGCAGGGCGCCCCUGGACCUCUGAGUGGGUUUUGUGAUUGGUGUGGUUCUUGUGAGCUUUGGAAGAGGGGCUCUGUGUGACCUUGAGAAGAGUAAGAGCUUUACAGCAGCUGCCACCUCUGCCCAUGGUGCUAGUGUGACGUUGUACAAGUUGAGACUUCCUCUCCCAGUCUAUGCAAUGCAGAUAGUAUGUCAUCACGAUGGGAUUGUUGUGGGGUGUCAGGGAGGUAUUAAUGAAAUCCUACGUCCAGAGCCUGCCACACAAAGACGUUCAAUGCAGGCCAGUCUCUUUCUUGCCAUGCUCUCCCUGUCAGCGCUGGCCACUGGCCACUUCUGUCUAUUGUUCAGAGGCAGAAGAGAAGAAGGUGACCUUCAAGUACCUGGAAUCAUUAAGCCUCAGCUGGCUUUGAAUUCGUUAUGUAGCCCAGCCUGUCCUUGAACUCCUGACCCUUCUGCCUUCAUUUCCCAAGCCCUGGAAUUACAGGCCUGUACCACCAUACCUACUUGCUGAAUAGUACUCAUGUCUCCUUCUUGUUCCUAUAACAAUUGAUAUAAAAGGUGGUAAGUAAGCAUGAAGAAGCAUUCAGAGAAGAGGGCGUGGGACCGUGGUGGUGGAAGGAAGAGGCGCUAGUCUCUAGCUCCCAGUGCUGAGGGAUCCCUGACUACACAGGGAUGAGCUGCUACUUAACUAUUGUGGACAGAACCAGUGCUGCUUGACGAUGGGCCACCAGUGGCCUUUGAAGUAGAAUCCUAGUUAAGCCUGAAGGCUAUUCAGGAAGGCAGAGCCCUUGUAGGGACACUGGAGAGUGGAAGGAGCUUUGCUCAUGAUAGGGGGUAUUUAAGGGGAUGGAAAGGUAUUGUUAUUUUCUUUUUCUAUUUUGUGUGUGUGUGUGUGUGUGUGUGUGUGUGUGUGUGUGUGUGUGUGUACUUGCAUGUAUACACAUGUAUUUGCAAGUGCUUGUAGAGGCCCUGGGUUGUUGUUGGGAAUCACUCAUAAUUGCUCUCACCCUGCUCAUUGAGGCAGAGUCUUUCCAUCAAACCCAGAGUUCACAGAUACAGCUGGCCUUGCUAGUCAGUGUGCUCCAUGGAGUCCCUGUCUCCACCCAAGUCUAGAAUGACAGAAGUCAUUCAUGUGGGUUUCUGAGGACCCAAACUCUCAUCCUCACACAUAUAUUGCAAAUACUUGAAUCACUAUCCAUCUCCUCAGUUCUGGGGCUUGCUACUUUCAUGGCAGUGUAUGUCCUGAAGAAGGCAAACUGGAGGGAAACUCAUCACACACAUGUCCCCCACACGGUAUGGGAAGCACUUUGAGUAAUCUGGUAGUUGUAGUAGGGGCAGACUCUCCUCACAGCAGUGCCAUUGGAAGAGUUUUCUGAGGCUCACCUCAUAGAAAGGGUGGAAGCAUGUAAGUUUACUCAAACUUUGUAAAUAACAUUUUAUUCCCAAUUGUCUCUAACUGAUAACCUAUAAAACACAAAUUCAUUUUGAAUAUAAAUUCAGAAAAUAUCUGAUAUUUUGUGUAUAAGAACUAUAACUUUAUUCAGUUACUUUUAUGGUGGUGUAUAUCUUUAAUCCUAGUACUUGGGAGGCAGAGGCUGGUAGAUUUCUGUGAGUUUAAGGCCAGCCUGGCCUAUAUAGUGAGUCCCAGAACAGUUAGAACUACAUAGUAAGACCCUGUUUCAAAAACUAAAACAAACAGAAGAAAGAAAUAUUACCGUAUUAAAGAAAUCCUUAAAACUAUCUGGUUUCCCAUUUCAUACCCCAAAUAUGGCCAGGAAGAAGAAGCCUCUAUUAUGGAGUUUAGAAAGGUUAUAUGUCUUGAAAGUCUGAGAAAGACAGGUUGACAGGUCUCUGUCCCUUCGCAGAUGUUAAGAUCAACACAGGAUCUGAAUUUUAAGAGAUUCCUUCAAAGGCUAGUGCACAUAUCCUUUUGACUGGUUUAAUUAACCCAUAUAGAUCAUUUUUUGUUAAGGUGAUAUUUGAUUAACUUCCCUUCAGCCCCUGGGAGGGUCUUAAGCAUGAGAAUUUCAUAUUCAUACACCAGAGAAAUGAACAACUAAGAUCAGAGCAGGAAAGAACAACAAGGCUGGUGUUGAGGAGCAGCAGGAAUUGAGGAGUGGCCAUCAUGCCAGAAAUCUGCAGGAGAAAAGGAGGCAGAAGCGUCCCAGAAUUCUGUGGUUCAACAAACCAGGAAUUCAGGGUCCAGGGGCACUAAAUAAUAUCCAUACCUUGUUUGGUGUGUGAUUUGCACAGUUUGGCUCCCAUGCUAUGAGCCUUUUAAGGACCUGGCUGGGUGUAUCCACUUCCAAGAAGGUUCAAUUCACAGUGCAUCAAACAGGAAAGGCCACCACCUCCUCCUGAAGCCCUCGAAUGGGACUGGAGAAUUAAGCAAAAACAUCCUCUUUCUUACAGUUCUAUCUUGUCUAAUUAGAUGUACGCAUCAGUACAUCUACUUAGUUAUAUUGUCACUUUUUUUAAAACAACCUACAAACUGGCAGAGCUUGACAAGGCUCUGAAUUACACGUGUAAGUGAAGAGCCAGCAGAUGGCGCCCUUUGUCGUUUAUUGAGGCUCUUACCCGCAGAGAAGAAUGUUGGCCUGGCUUCUUUCAUUUGAGUAGUACAAGUAGUGUUUUAACUGUUUAUUAUGCAUGAGCCAAAAGUCCAUGAAUGUGUAACAUUUUCUCCCAUAUUCCCCCUUUUAUAACAUCAUUUAAAUUCCUUAUUAAUAAUUUAAAAAUGUUCUGGAUUUUAAUCACUUUUCUCAUCACUAAAAUAUCUGAUGAAGAGAUAGGUUUUUUUUUCCCCCUGCUGAAGGUGAGAUAGAGGAAAUCAUCUGCGAGGAAGGAAGAAGAAACUCUCACUCUUAAAUCGAGCUCGCCACCCCCUCGAGCGCAUCACCCCAUCUUUUCAGUUUAAUUGAAUAGUAUUUAUUUAAUUAAUAAAAAUAUCUGUCUAGUGCAGGUUUCAGAAAUUCAAAGCUAGAAUAGGCUGCCAUUAAUAAAACAAGUUUUUUUUUUAUAUCCAAGUUUAAUUAUGGUGGUGUGUGUUUGAUAGCUUGUUACUGUAAAUAAAAGAGAUAAAGGCAGCCCUUCACUGGAGUAGCUGGAGAGCUGUGAAAUAUGUACCUAAUUAAAACUAUUGGUGUAAGAGGCUAAUAAAGUACAUGUGCC